Molecule: ribosomal RNA, 446 nt
Filed under: uncultured bacterium
Lineage: Bacteria
Description: partial 16S ribosomal RNA
Rfam family: Bacterial small subunit ribosomal RNA
Source: RNAcentral
CCUACGGGAGGCAGCAGUCGAGAAUCAUUCACAAUGGGGGAAACCCUGAUGGUGCGACGCCGCGUGGGGGAAUGAAGGUCUUCGGAUUGUAAACCCCUGUCAUGUGGGAGCAAAUUAAAAAGAUAGUACCACAAGAGGAAGAGACGGCUAACUCUGUGCCAGCAGCCGCGGUAAUACAGAGGUCUCAAGCGUUGUUCGGAAUCACUGGGCGUAAAGCGUGCGUAGGCUGUUGCGUAAGUCGUGUGUGAAAGGCGCGGGCUCAACCCGCGGACGGCACAUGAUACUGCGAGACUAGAGUGAUGGAGGGGGAAGCGGAAUUCGCGGUGUAGCAGUGAAAUGCGUAGAUAUCGAGAGGAACACUCGUGGCGAAGGCGGGUUCCUGGACAUUAACUGACGCUGAGGCACGAAGGCCAGGGGAGCGAAAGGGAUUAGAUACCCUUGUAGUC